GAUGAACGCUGGCGGCGUGCUUAACACAUGCAAGUCGAACGGAAAGGCCCAAGCUUGCUUGGGUACUCGAGUGGCGAACGGGUGAGUAACACGUGGGUGAUCUGCCCUGCACUUCUGGAUAAGCCUGGGAAACUGGGUCUAAUACCGGAUAGGACCACAUUUUGGAUGGUGUGGUGGAGAGUUUUUCGGUGUGGGGUGAGCUCGCGGCCUAUCAGCUUGUUGGUGGGGUAAUGGGCUACCAAGGCGUCGACGGGUAGCCGGCCUGCGAGGGGGUACGGCGACAUUGGGACUGAGAGACGGCCCAGACUCCUACGGGAGGGAGCAGGGGGGAAUAUUGAACAAUGGGCGCAAGCCUGAUGCAGCGAAGCCGCGUGGGGGAUGACGGUCUUCGGGUUGUAAACGCCUUUCGCUAGGGACGAAGCGUUAUGUGACGGUACCUGGAGAAGAAGCACCGGCUAACUACGUG
Molecule: ribosomal RNA, 466 nt
Filed under: uncultured bacterium
Lineage: Bacteria
Description: partial 16S ribosomal RNA
Rfam family: Bacterial small subunit ribosomal RNA
Source: RNAcentral